This 20-nucleotide ribosomal RNA is filed under the name Capsicum annuum. RNAcentral's name for it is "partial 18S ribosomal RNA". Lineage: Eukaryota; Viridiplantae; Streptophyta; Magnoliopsida; Solanales; Solanaceae. The record is from RNAcentral.
CUGCGGAAGGAUCAUGGUCG